UACGUAGGGUGCGAGCGUUGUCCGGAAUUACUGGGCGUAAAGAGCUCGUAGGUGGUUUGUCGCGUUGUCCGUGAAAACUCACAACUCAAUUGUGGGCGUGCGGGCGAUACGGGCAGACUGGAGUACUGCAGGGGAGACUGGAAUUCCUGGUGUAGCGGUGGAAUGCGCAGAUAUCAGGAGGAACACCGGUGGCGAAGGCGGCUCUCUGGAACGGUACUGACGCUGAGACGCGAAAGCGUGGGGAGCGAAGCAGGAUUGAGAU
RNAcentral lists this ribosomal RNA (262 nucleotides) under uncultured bacterium. Its description in RNAcentral is "partial 16S ribosomal RNA". It matches the Rfam family "Bacterial small subunit ribosomal RNA", at positions 524 to 785 of the family's 1533-position model. The record is from RNAcentral.